Molecule: long non-coding RNA, 2419 nt
Filed under: Carica papaya (papaya)
Lineage: Eukaryota; Viridiplantae; Streptophyta; Magnoliopsida; Brassicales; Caricaceae
Description: long non-coding RNA (CPAP_LNC006771)
Source: RNAcentral
UAUACAGAGGUACAUGGAUAAUUAAAGAGAUGUCUCUCGUACUAAUAUCCUACGAUCCAUUCUCAACUUUAGAUAGUUUAAAUUUUUUAAUAACAAAUGUGAUUAAAAUAAAAUAGUUACUAUUAAAAUUAGAUAAAUUUAUUAAUAUAUUAUUUAAGUAGGUUCACUCUUACUCACUUUUCAAGUAGAAUUAGUUAGGUAGGUUCACUCUUACGUACUCUUCAAGUAGAAUUAGCUAAACGUUAUGGGUAAUAAACAAAAUUAUGUUAUAAUUAAAAUAUACUAUAAAUUUUAAUUAUAUUCAUAUACUUCUGUAUAAUAUAUUAUUUAAAAAAAGAAAAAUAAGUUGCCCAAAUAAUUUAUAAUAAUGACAAUUUUAGUAAUAUACGGUACCCAUUACUAAAUGUUAAACAUGUACAAACGUAAAACUAUUUUUUUAAGGUUAGUUUUUGUUGGUAUAGUCUACUUUUAAUAAUAAAUACAGUUUCAUUGUUAAAAGUUACACUAUAAAAAUGCAAAUUCUUUGUAAAUGUUCAACUUUUACUUAUGGAUCCAUUUCUGUUAAUACAAAUUCAACUAUACAAACAAUUUCAAUUGUAUACCUUUCAGCGUAAUUUUUUCAUUGGUAUAGAUCUAUUGCUCAUUAAAAUAUUUGUAGCCCAAUUUAUUUAAUCUAGCUAAAUGAUUAGCGUAUUAGCUCAUUUUAAAGACCCAAACCCUUUUCUUAAAAAAAAAAAAAAAAAACUUUGUCCUACUCUUGUUUGUAGCGUUCCUUCAUCAUCCCACAUGUUCUAACUUCUCAUUGUUCAACCAUGGCACAACUUCUCACCAUUCAUAAGAAGCUGCAACUUCCUUCAUCCUUCGCAGGCUACACUCUCAUCUCCAUCUUUCCUUCAUCAUCGGACCUCGUCUUACUUCAUUUCCCUUCUUCAUCUUAUGGUUCCUCAUACUUCAUUUUCCUUAUUCACCCCACGCCUCUUCUUGCUCUAUUUCCCUUCUUUAUCGCUGUGCCUCCUUCUUAUCAGUCAUCUAUCUCUAAGUUACUCUUUCAUUUCUUGCUUCCAUCUCCUUUCUUGGCCUCUAGGUUAUGGACGCACCUUUUCCUCCUUAAAGCAAAUAAGGAACAUUUGUUGAUUGUCACUUACUAGAUUUCACUCUAAUAUUUGCCAAUUUGAACCACUAUUCAAAACAUUAUCUCAACUCCUUCUUUCUCCCUUAUAAUCAUAGGCUCGAAUACUCGACCAUUUCGUUUGUUAAGCUCAUGAAGUCUAGAACUUGUUAGUUGAGAUUUAUUAGGUAAAAUCCCUCUUCUUCCAUUGCUUCAUUUAUGGGUUAGUUUUAUUUUCAUAUGUAUAAAGUUUUAUUUUCAUAUGUAUAUUCUGGAGCUUGAGGAACGAGAUAAAGAUGAGAAAUAAGGAAUCGAAGAGAGAGAUUGAGAAUAGAGUGUGUGUGUGUGUGAGAGAGAGAGAGAAGCUAGAUAAAGAGGAGACGUCCCAAGAAAGAUAUAAAGAAGAUAAAUAAAAAGGGCUUAGAAAUGCAAGAGAUAUUGCAGGAUAUAGGGGAGACAGAGAGGAGUAAAGAAGAAGAAGAUAAGGAGAGGAAUAAAGAAACACAUAUGGAGGAGAAUAAGGUGCUAUAUAUUUAUCAUAUUUUUUAUGCUCUUAUUACUUAUUUUUGUAAGAAAUUUGAAUGAAUUUUGAGUUAAAAAAUCAAUUUAUAAGCAAACUUUUGAUGCAUGUUACAUUGAUGAAGAAAAGAGGAGAAAAAAGUCUGAAGAGAAAAGAAGAGAUGAGGUAGAAGUCCAGGCCCAAAUCUGCAGUUAAACCUAACCCAUCAACACUCAAAACGAUGUUGUUUUGAAGCUGAGAAACAGAAGCCAAAAUGGCACCAUUUUGAAGAAAGAAAAAAAAUAUCAGGAUAAAACAGGCAUGUACGCCUCUGGAAGCCCGAAAGACACCAGAAAAGAAGAAGAAGAGACCCGCACGGGAUCGACCGAAGGAGGAAGAAGAGGCGUGCGAAACUUCACCUUCUUCUGCCUACAAAUGAGAACCAAGAGCAGAUCUGGAAAGGACAGAUAGGUUAAGAGCCAAAGCGCGAGUAGAAGGCAAAGCUUGGUAGAGGGCUUAAGCAAAAGCAGAGCAAAAAACAGAAUAUGAAGCAGAGUAGAGCGGGGCGCAGAAGGCAGAAGAGAGCAAAAUCAUAAGAGAACUCGGAGCGUAGAGGAAAAUAAGGCGAGUUUUAAGGAAGCUAGUGGAAGUAAAAGUUGAGAAUAAUAAAAGUGAAGCGGUAAGCUGAGUGGAGAAUCAGAUUCGAAGCAGAAGCAUGAUUACAAAUCUUAAGCAGGAAAGUAAGGGAGUUUGGUGAGAGAGAAGCAUAGAAAAGUAAUUACGUAAUGUAAUAUAUUUUUUUAGCUUNNNNN